CUGCACGAGUUCAUGUCUGUCAUUCACACAUGCAAAUUGUGAUGCCUGCUGCUUGCGACAGCUUUGCCCCUGUUCUUCUUCUACUCCGGCAAGAUGGAUUCAAACUUGGUUCUGAAAAGCACACCACAGAGGUCACCGUGAAGAAGUCUGGAAGCCUGCUUAUAAAUUCUGGGAUACAAGGAUACUCCCUGCUAAAGACAACUCAGAUGAGAGUCUGGAAUGUUCCAUCCAAAUAGUUUAAUCAGAAACUGCACUGGCAAAGGUCUAGAGGAUGUAGAGGAGCUCCAGUUUGAUCCUAAGGAUGGCAUUGCUUUUUUUCUUCUUAUGCUCCAGUUUGCAGCAGCAUCUCCGACACCCUCUCGACGAAUUGCAGGUAGAUUGUAGCUGAGGAUGCGGCGAUGACCACCAAGGUAUGCCCUUCUCUCCUUGCCCUUCAUGCUGGCUUCAACAAGGCCGAAAGAUCUUCAGUCUUUUACAAGGUCAACCCCGCCUUCCUUGCAAUCAAUCUGCUGGCGACAGUAGAAAUUAACAGUCCUUUGUAUGUGUUUCUACAUGGUGGAUAUACGUGCAGGACCGGAGUGCAUGCUCGGUGGCAGAAGCAUCAGGGUGCUCCACGCUCAACAUCUUCUCAGCAUAGCUGCUCGAUCAGUAGUUUUGAUUGAUCUAUUUGAUAAUUUAAGCCAUCCAGUUGAUGUUCUUGGUUCGCUCAUGCUCUUUUCUUAUGUUGUUGUUUAAUCACUAUUGGCUUGGAUAUUCUCUAUAGCAUCUCAACAAUUCACUGCAAUUGGCCAGGUUAUUCUGUA
Triticum urartu is the source of this 803-nucleotide non-coding RNA. The record is from RefSeq and is a predicted model, not a curated record. Lineage: Eukaryota; Viridiplantae; Streptophyta; Magnoliopsida; Poales; Poaceae.